This 264-nucleotide ribosomal RNA is filed under the name uncultured archaeon. RNAcentral describes it as "partial 16S ribosomal RNA". It matches the Rfam family "Archaeal small subunit ribosomal RNA", at positions 748 to 1009 of the family's 1478-position model. The record is from RNAcentral.
UAGGCGUAAAUGAUGCGAGUUAAGUGUGGGGGCGAUCUACGAGAUGGCCCUGUGCUGUAGGGUAGCCGUUAAACUCGCUGCCUGGGGAGGUACGGUCGCAAGGCUGAAACUUAAAGGAAUUGGCGGGGGAGGCACCGCAACGGGAGGAGCGUGCGGUUCAAUUGGAUUCAACGCCGAAAACUACACCAGGAGCGACGGAUAUAUGAAGGUCAAGCUGAUGACUUUACCUGAUUUUCCGAGAGGUGGUGCAUGGCGUAGUCGUGU